Molecule: ribosomal RNA, 301 nt
Filed under: uncultured bacterium
Lineage: Bacteria
Description: partial 16S ribosomal RNA
Rfam family: Bacterial small subunit ribosomal RNA
Source: RNAcentral
CAGCCGCCGCGGGAAUACGAAGGGGGCUAGCGUUGUUCGGAAUUACUGGGCGUAAAGCGCACGCAGGCGGCUCGAUAAAUUAGAAGUGAAAGCCUUGGGCUUAACCUGAGAAUUGCUUUUAAGACUGUCGAGCUAGAAUCCAGAAGAGGGUAGUGGAAUUCCGAGUGUAGAGGUGAAAUUCGUAGAUAUUCGGAGGAACACCAGUGGCGAAGGCGGCUCACUGGUCCAUUACUGACGCUGAGGUGCGAAAGCGUGGGGAGCAAACAGGAUUAGAUACCCCUGUAGUCCCUGUCUCUUAUAC